GGGGGGGGGGGGGGGGGGGGGGGGGGGGGGGAGGUGGGGGGGGUGAAGGGGGCUUGCGGCUGGAUGCAGCGGCGGACGGGGGGGGAAUGCCUAGGAAUCUGCCUGGUAGUGGGGGAUAACGUCCGGAACAGGGCGCUACUACCGCAUACGUCCGGAGGGGGCAGUUGGGGGAUCUUCGGACCUCACGCUAUGAGCUGAUCCUAGGUCGGAUUAGCUAGUUGGUGGGGUAACGGCCUACCAAGGCGACGAUCCGUAACUGGUCUGAGAGGAUGAUCAGUCACCAUGGAACUUAGACACGGUCCAGACUCCUACGGGAGGCAGCAGUGGGGAAUAUUGGACAAUGGGCGAAAGCCUGAUCCAGCCAUGCCGCGUGUGUGAAGAAGGUCUUCGGAUUGUAAAGCACUUUAAGUUGGGAGGAAGGGCAGUAAGUUAAUACCUUGCUGUUUUGACGUUACCAACAGAAUAAGCACCGGCUAACUUCGUG
This 484-nucleotide ribosomal RNA is filed under the name uncultured bacterium. RNAcentral's name for it is "partial 16S ribosomal RNA". The stretch from base 52 to 484 matches the Rfam family "Bacterial small subunit ribosomal RNA", at positions 35 to 507 of the family's 1533-position model. The record is from RNAcentral.